This 498-nucleotide ribosomal RNA is filed under the name uncultured Glomeromycotina. RNAcentral's name for it is "partial small subunit ribosomal RNA". It matches the Rfam family "Eukaryotic small subunit ribosomal RNA", at positions 591 to 1092 of the family's 1831-position model. The record is from RNAcentral. Lineage: Eukaryota; Fungi; Glomeromycota.
CCAAUAGCGUAUAUUAAAGUUGUUGCAGUUAAAAAGCUCGUAGUUGAACUUCAGGCCUGGCUGGACGGUCCGCCUUCCGGGCGAGUACUGUCUGUGGUCGGGUCCUACCUUCUGGCGAAGCGGCAUGGCCUUAACCGGCCGUGGCGGGGAACCAGGACUUUUACUGUGAAAAAAUUAGAGUGUUCAAAGCAGGCAAUUCGCUUGGAUACAUUAGCAUGGAAUAAUGGAAUAGGACAAUGGUUCUAUUUGUUGGUUUCUAGGACUGUUGUAAUGAUUAAUAGGGAUAGUUGGGGGCAUUAGUAUUCAAUUGUCAGAGGUGAAAUUCUUGGAUUUAUUGAAGACUAACUACUGCGAAAGCAUUUGCCAAGGAUGUUUUCAUUAAUCAAGAACGAAAGUCAGGGGAUCGAAGACGAUCAGAUACCGUCGUAGUCUUAACCAUAAACUAUGCCGACUAGGAAUCGGGCGAUGUUGACAAAAUGACGCGCUCGGCACCUCAUG